This 250-nucleotide ribosomal RNA is filed under the name uncultured prokaryote. Its description in RNAcentral is "partial 16S rRNA". It matches the Rfam family "Bacterial small subunit ribosomal RNA", at positions 525 to 775 of the family's 1533-position model. The record is from RNAcentral.
ACGGAGGGUGCAAGCGUUAUUCGGAUUUAUUGGGCGUAAGGGCCCGUAGGGGGGCUUUUAAGUUCGGUGGGAAAUUCCCGGGCUUAACCCUCGGAGGGGCUUUGAAACUGGGAAGCUUGAGUAUGGGAGAGGGAAACGGAAUUCCUGGUGUAGCGGUGAAAUGCGUAGAUAUCAGGAGGAACACCGGUGGCGAAAGCGGUUUCCCGGACCAAUACUGACGCUGAGGCGCGAAGGCGCGGGGAUCAAACAG